GCCGGCGUGAUGGAAUUGGUAGACUUGCUAGACUCAAAAUCUUGUGGGGGUAACCCCGUGUCGGUUCGAGCCCGACCGCCGGCA
Molecule: transfer RNA, 84 nt
Filed under: Spirochaetes bacterium GWB1_27_13
Lineage: Bacteria; Pseudomonadati; Spirochaetota
Also listed under: 2 other names
Description: tRNA-Leu
Rfam family: tRNA
About the family: Transfer RNA (tRNA) molecules are approximately 80 nucleotides in length. Their secondary structure includes four short double-helical elements and three loops (D, anti-codon, and T loops).
Source: RNAcentral